CCAAAAGUUAGCGGCGGACGGGUGAGUAACACGUGGGCAACCUGCCUAUAAGACUGGGAUAACUUCGGGAAACCGGAGCUAAUACCGGAUAACAUAUGAGACCACAUGGUCUCAUAUUAAAAGAUGGCUUUUAGCUAUCACUUAUAGAUGGGCCCGCGGCGCAUUAGCUAGUUGGUGAGGUAAUGGCUCACCAAGGCGACGAUGCGUAGCCGACCUGAGAGGGUGAUCGGCCACACUGGGACUGAGACACGGCCCAGACUCCUACGGGAGGCAGCAGUAGGGAAUCUUCCGCAAUGGACGAAAGUCUGACGGAGCAACGCCGCGUGAGCGAAGAAGGUCUUCGGAUCGUAAAGCUCUGUUGUUAGGGAAGAACAAGUACCGUUCAAAUAGGGCGGUACCUUGACGGUACCUAACCAGAAAGCCACGGCUAACUACG
RNAcentral lists this ribosomal RNA (436 nucleotides) under Bacillus timonensis. RNAcentral's name for it is "bacterial SSU rRNA". It matches the Rfam family "Bacterial small subunit ribosomal RNA", at positions 85 to 505 of the family's 1533-position model. The record is from RNAcentral. Lineage: Bacteria; Bacillati; Bacillota; Bacilli; Caryophanales; Bacillaceae.